RNAcentral lists this ribosomal RNA (279 nucleotides) under uncultured bacterium. RNAcentral's name for it is "partial 16S ribosomal RNA". It matches the Rfam family "Bacterial small subunit ribosomal RNA", at positions 506 to 784 of the family's 1533-position model. The record is from RNAcentral.
UGCCAGCCGCCGCGGUAAUACGGAGGGUCCAAGCGUUAUCCGGAUUUAUUGGGUUUAAAGGGUGCGCAGGCGGAACUUUAAGUCAGUGGUGAAAUCUUGCCGCUUAACGGUAAAAUUGCCAUUGAAACUGAAGUUCUUGAAUGUAGUUGAGGUAGGCGGAAUGUGUUGUGGAGCGGUGAAAUGCGUUGAUAUCAUCAGGAACACCAGUUGCGAAGGCGGCUUACUAAGCUAUGAUUGACGCUGAGGUACGAAAGCGUGGGGAGCGAACAGGAUUAGAUA